Molecule: unclassified non-coding RNA, 276 nt
Filed under: Hevea brasiliensis (rubber tree)
Lineage: Eukaryota; Viridiplantae; Streptophyta; Magnoliopsida; Malpighiales; Euphorbiaceae
Source: RNAcentral
AGGAAAUCUACAGUAGGGAAUAAAGGUGUUACAAUAUAACAUGUUGAAGUCAACAACUAUUGAUUCAUUUUUUAAGAGGAAAGAAAAGGCUACAAACAAUUCACAGUCUAGUGAGCCAACUCCUGUAUUUAAUGAUAAUGCAAUUGUUGAACAACUACCACCUAAAGCUCCAAGAAUUAAUCACAAAGAGGUUGAUAUCGCUUCUUUAAUUUGUGAUCUAGGCUUACGCCCUCAAAUUUAGGAAUAUCCAAUUAAUCAAUAAGAUGAAAUUCGAAG